GGGAGCGCGCUACACUGCAGUCGAGCGGGGGAAGUAGCUUGCUACUGGACCUAGCGGCGGACGGGUGAGUAAUGCUUAGGAAUCUGCCUAUUAGUGGGGGACAACAUUCCGAAAGGAAUGCUAAUACCGCAUACGUCCUACGGGAGAAAGCAGGGGACCUUCGGGCCUUGCGCUAAUAGAUGAGCCUAAGUCGGAUUAGCUAGUUGGUGGGGUAAAGGCCUACCAAGGCGACGAUCUGUAGCGGGUCUGAGAGGAUGAUCCGCCACACUGGGACUGAGACACGGCCCAGACUCCUACGGGAGGCAGCAGUGGGGAAUAUUGGACAAUGGGGGGAACCCUGAUCCAGCCAUGCCGCGUGUGUGAAGAAGGCCUUAUGGUUGUAAAGCACUUUAAGCGAGGAGGAGGCUACUAGUAUUAAUACUACUGGAUAGUGGACGUUACUCGCAUAAUAAGCACCGGCUAACUCUGUGCCAGCCACCGCGGUUAUACUGAGGGUGCGAGCGUUAUUUCGCAUUUACUGGUCGUAAACCGU
Molecule: ribosomal RNA, 532 nt
Filed under: Acinetobacter sp. NAD-A21
Lineage: Bacteria; Pseudomonadati; Pseudomonadota; Gammaproteobacteria; Moraxellales; Moraxellaceae
Description: bacterial SSU rRNA
Rfam family: Bacterial small subunit ribosomal RNA
Source: RNAcentral